UGAAAAUUCAAGGAAAUCAGUUUUAUAUAGUCUUGAUAUUUUCUCUCAUUAAUUUUUCGGUAUUUUUUUCCCAUUUUCCAAUCACUUGGGAUCUUGAUUUUGUGAGAAUUUGAUACACCCCUGUCAGUUAACCAACUUGACCAAUCUGAUUUUGUUCAUCUUUUAUAUGGACUUAUUUCCCGGCACUAGGCUAUUUGCUGUCCACUGUUAGUGUCUUUUCAAUGCUUUAUCAGGUACCAUGAUUGUGUCUUUUCAAUGCUUUAUCAGGUACCAUGAUUUAUUGCUGCCUUUGUGUACCUGGAUUGUCCAUUUAAAUGCUCAGAUGCCAUAAAGGCAGCACAUUUAAGAAUCAUAUCCAUGUAUUGAUCAGUAGCCAUAUUGUUUUAGCCUACAGAAAAUGUAUUUUAUAUCCUUACUAUAAAAUGGCGGCUAUAUGGCAAUUUUUUUGCCAUCUGUUUUUAUCACCCCUUCAAGUCCCAUUUUUCUUAGAAACUAGAUAACAGAAUAUUCAUAUUUGUACAGCAGCUAUACAAUGAUGAGUUGUAAGGUGUGAGCACU
RNAcentral lists this long non-coding RNA (558 nucleotides) under Mytilus galloprovincialis (Mediterranean mussel). Lineage: Eukaryota; Metazoa; Mollusca; Bivalvia; Mytilida; Mytilidae. The record is from RNAcentral.